Molecule: ribosomal RNA, 253 nt
Filed under: uncultured bacterium
Lineage: Bacteria
Description: partial 16S ribosomal RNA
Rfam family: Bacterial small subunit ribosomal RNA
Source: RNAcentral
UACAGAGGUCUCAAGCGUUGUUCGGAUUCAUUGGGCGUAAAGGGUGCGUAGGCGGCGCGGUAAGUCGGGUGUGAAAUCUUGGAGCUUAACUCCGAAACUGCAUUCGAUACUGCCGUGCUUGAGGACUGGAGAGGAGACUGGAAUUUACGAUGUAGCGGUGAAAUGCGUAGAUAUCGUAAGGAAGACCAGUGGCGAAGGCGGGUCUCUGGACAGUUCCUGACGCUGAGGCACGAAGGUCAGGGGAGCAAACGGG